AUUAGCGAGGCCCUAAGCUUCUUCACAAGGCCCUGUGUCUAAAUAAAAUAUUUUUUAAAAGGCUGGGGAUGUGGCUUGGUGGUUAAGCGUCCCUGGGUUCAAUCCCCAAUACCAAAAAUAAAUAAAUAAAUAGAUAGACAAAUAAACAAAUAAAUAAAUCGGAGGACUUAUCAUCACAAUAAUUAAACCACUAUUACUAUCCAUAAUGUCAUUUAGCCUUCAGUGACUCCUGGGAGAGGAGAGUGGACAAGCAUUCAGUGGGGGUGAGGUCUGGCCUCCCAGCUUUCUCUCCAGAUCUCGGACAGCCCUAGGUCCUGAGCCCGCGGGGUCUGAACGGCCUGCAGCAGGCAGGGCUGCAGGGGCCCAGUCACUGAGGGGUCCUACCCAGAUGGAACUGGAGCUGCAGGGUAGACCUAACUGGACAGAAGAGAGCCAGAAGACCAGGGAGUGCAGCGUGUGGUCAGGAGCCAUGGGGC
This 476-nucleotide long non-coding RNA is filed under the name Marmota monax (woodchuck). The record is from RNAcentral. Lineage: Eukaryota; Metazoa; Chordata; Mammalia; Rodentia; Sciuridae.